UGCGCAUUAGCCAUAGUUGUGCCA
Molecule: non-coding RNA, 24 nt
Filed under: Arabidopsis thaliana (thale cress)
Lineage: Eukaryota; Viridiplantae; Streptophyta; Magnoliopsida; Brassicales; Brassicaceae
Source: RNAcentral